This 1253-nucleotide long non-coding RNA is filed under the name Olea europaea (common olive). RNAcentral's name for it is "long non-coding RNA (OEUR_LNC015629)". The record is from RNAcentral. Lineage: Eukaryota; Viridiplantae; Streptophyta; Magnoliopsida; Lamiales; Oleaceae.
UUACUGUCUGUAAUCUGGUUAUACAUGUGUAGAUUGUCUCUUAAGCUAAGCACUAUCAACACAUGACUCAGGCACCCUCAGUGAACAAAAGUGGGUCUCAAAAACCGCCCAUGAUCAAUUCUAGAACAUGGCCAAUACCUCUUAGUGAGCUAUACGUACAUAGUCAAAACCCUCAGUGUAGCAUAGAACACGAUCAAGGCCCUUCAAUGAACUAUCACAUGUCUCACAUUCCAAUUCACAAUACUCCAUAUACAAUCUUUGAAUUCCAUAUAUAUCAUAGUAAAAGAACAUUUUCAUAAUAAUUAUGUAAUUGAACAAAUAGUUCAUAUAAUUGCAUUUAAUGCAAUAACAUAAUUAUUUAUCAAUACUUGAAAAUAUUUAAAUUUGUUCACUCACCAAGUUAUAGAUCAUUCAUGACUUCAUUCUUCUCGUCACUUCCUCGCAUUCAAAUCCCAAGUACGACACAUCACACUCAUCCCAAGAUAUCAUAUCUUUUCAUCAAGAUGCCUUAAUCAUUUUUCCUACUAUUAGAAAUAAUAAUUUACCAAUAGGAACUUGAUAUCUUUUAUUUUCAAUCCCAUAAUCCCAAUUAGGGUCAUUAACAAUACAUACUCCUUUAUAUAAAUUAUUUUAACAUUUAAAUUGAUUUUCAUAAUAAAAUAUCCAAAAAAAUCACAUGAUUGAUAAAACUAGCACUAACAGCAAUGUUUGUUUAUUGAAAAAUGUCUCCAAAAAAUAGCACUCUCUGGACAGAAUUUCAAAAACAGUUCCUGUAGAUGAAUUUUGCACAAAAAUUGAUUAAAAAAAUACCAGAAUCCAACCUCAAAUUCAUAUCCCAUUGUAAUAAAUCAUAAAUCAAGUGUUUUAUAUCAUAUGCACAUAAUAAAUCAAAGAUCCAAGCUCUAAUUUACUAGCCCAUUUCACAUUUCUUGCACUUCAACAUUAAUCUUCUAAUAUAUAUUACUCUUGUUGUUUAGUACGUCAAAUACUUAUCAAUAAUAACUAAUUUUUGCUAAACUUCAAAUAUAAGCAAUUUUCUAUAAACCCAAAAAAUUCAAAUAAUAUAAUUUUUACUUACCUCUUGAAAGUAAGGAGAAUUAAGGAAUGAAAAACCCGUGUUUGAAAGCCAAAAACUAUUCCUUCUUUUUCUUCUUCAUCUUCUUCGCUUGUUCUUCUUCUUCUCCUCCUCCUCUUGUUCUUCUUCCUCUUCUUCUUCUUCUUCCUCUUCCUCUUCUUCUUCGCUUGUUCUUCUC